AUUGAACGCUGGCGGCAGGCCUAACACAUGCAAGUCGAGCGGAUGACGGGAGCUUGCUCCUUGAUUCAGCGGCGGACGGGUGAGUAAUGCCUAGGAAUCUGCCUGGUAGUGGGGGAUAACGUUCCGAAAGGAGCGCUAAUACCGCAUACGUCCUGCGGGAGAAAGUGGGGGAUCUUCGGACCUCACGCUAUCAGAUGAGCCUAGGUCGGAUUAGCUAGUUGGUGGGGUAAAGGCUCACCAAGGCGACGAUCCGUAACUGGUCUGAGAGGAUGAUCAGUCACACUGGAACUGAGACACGGUCCAGACUCCUACGGGAGGCAGCAGUGGGGAAUAUUGGACAAUGGGCGAAAGCCUGAUCCAGCCAUGCCGCGUGUGUGAAGAAGGUCUUCGGAUUGUAAAGCACUUUAAGUUGGGAGGAAGGGCAGUAAGUUAAUACCUUGCUGUUUUGACGUUACCAACAGAAUAAGCACCGGCUAACUCCGUG
This 484-nucleotide ribosomal RNA is filed under the name uncultured bacterium. Its description in RNAcentral is "partial 16S ribosomal RNA". It matches the Rfam family "Bacterial small subunit ribosomal RNA", at positions 30 to 507 of the family's 1533-position model. The record is from RNAcentral.